RNAcentral lists this transfer RNA (85 nucleotides) under Chloroflexota bacterium. RNAcentral describes it as "tRNA-Leu". It matches the Rfam family "tRNA". From Rfam's summary of the family: Transfer RNA (tRNA) molecules are approximately 80 nucleotides in length. Their secondary structure includes four short double-helical elements and three loops (D, anti-codon, and T loops). The record is from RNAcentral. Lineage: Bacteria; Bacillati; Chloroflexota.
GCCGAAGUGGUGGAACUGGCAGACACCCACGACUCAAAAUCGUGUGAGCGGAAGCUCGUGUGGGUUCGACGCCCACCUUCGGCAC